RNAcentral lists this ribosomal RNA (771 nucleotides) under Pseudomonas koreensis. Its description in RNAcentral is "bacterial SSU rRNA". It matches the Rfam family "Bacterial small subunit ribosomal RNA", at positions 118 to 873 of the family's 1533-position model. The record is from RNAcentral. Lineage: Bacteria; Pseudomonadati; Pseudomonadota; Gammaproteobacteria; Pseudomonadales; Pseudomonadaceae.
UAGGAAAUCUGCCUGGUAGUGGGGGACAACGUCUCGAAAGGGACGCUAAUACCGCAUACGUCCUACGGGAGAAAGCAGGGGACCUUCGGGCCUUGCGCUAUCAGAUGAGCCUAGGUCGGAUUAGCUAGUUGGUGAGGUAAUGGCUCACCAAGGCGACGAUCCGUAACUGGUCUGAGAGGAUGAUCAGUCACACUGGAACUGAGACACGGUCCAGACUCCUACGGGAGGCAGCAGUGGGGAAUAUUGGACAAUGGGCGAAAGCCUGAUCCAGCCAUGCCGCGUGUGUGAAGAAGGUCUUCGGAUUGUAAAGCACUUUAAGUUGGGAGGAAGGGUUGUAGAUUAAUACUCUGCAAUUUUGACGUUACCGACAGAAUAAGCACCGGCUAACUCUGUGCCAGCAGCCGCGGUAAUACAGAGGGUGCAAGCGUUAAUCGGAAUUACUGGGCGUAAAGCGCGCGUAGGUGGUUUGUUAAGUUGGAUGUGAAAGCCCCGGGCUCAACCUGGGAACUGCAUUCAAAACUGACAAGCUAGAGUAUGGUAGAGGGUGGUGGAAUUUCCUGUGUAGCGGUGAAAUGCGUAGAUAUAGGAAGGAACACCAGUGGCGAAGGCGACCACCUGGACUGAUACUGACACUGAGGUGCGAAAGCGUGGGGAGCAAACAGGAUUAGAUACCCUGGUAGUCCACGCCGUAAACGAUGUCAACUAGGCGUUGGGAGCCUUGAGCUCUUAGUGGCGCAGCUUACGCCUGGAUCGAAGGUUAGGUGGACGGGA